RNAcentral lists this ribosomal RNA (660 nucleotides) under uncultured bacterium. Its description in RNAcentral is "bacterial SSU rRNA". It matches the Rfam family "Bacterial small subunit ribosomal RNA", at positions 210 to 871 of the family's 1533-position model. The record is from RNAcentral.
AUUAAUCGGUUACAGAUGAGGAUGCGUCCCAUUAGAUAGUUGGUAGGGCAACGGCCUACCAAGUCAGCGAUGGGUAGGGGUUCUGAGAGGAAGGCCCCCCACAUUGGAACUGAGACACGGUCCAAACUCCUACGGGAGGCAGCAGUGAGGAAUAUUGGUCAAUGGCGAGAGCCUGAACCAGCCAAGUCGCGUGAAGGAUGACUGCCCUAUGGGUUGUAAACUUCUUUUUUAGGGGAAUAAAGUGAGUCACGUGUGACUUUUUGUAUGUACCCUACGAAUAAGCAUCGGCUAACUCCGUGCCAGCAGCCGCGGUAAUACGGAGGAUGCGUGCGUUAUCCGGAUUUAUUGGGUUUAAAGGGUGCGUAGGCCGACUUUUAAGUCAGCGGUGAAAUUUUCCGGCUCAACCGGGACAUUGCCGUUGAUACUGAUAGUCUUGAGUGUAAAUGAGGUAGGCGGAAUGUGUGGUGUAGCGGUGAAAUGCUUAGAUAUCACACAGAACUCCAAUUGCGAAGGCAGCUUACUGGCAUACAACUGACGCUGAGGCACGAAAGUGUGGGUAUCAAACAGGAUUAGAUACCCUGGUAGUCCACACAGUAAACGAUGAUAACUAGCCGUUGGCGAUAUACAGUCAGUGGCAGAGCGAAAGCAUUAAGUUAUCCA